GCGUUCCCUCGGCGCAUGCCGGCGACCUUCCCGCGCGUGCAAGCGAAUGAGCAGCACAGGUUCUUCGGUGCCCCUGCAUCCUUUUAGCGCUUUUUACCGUACGUCUUGCCUUCUCUCGCCAUGCCGAACGCCAAGAACGGCUCAGAGACGACGUACUUCACUGCCAUCGCCAACCGCGAUGUUGAGGCGCUGAAGGCGCUCAUCGCGCAGAACCGCAACGUGAACGAGGUGGCGCAGGACCCGGCGCUGUAUCACCGUACACCGCUGCACAUAUGCGUCUGGGAAAACUUCGUGGAGGGUGCGAAGCUGCUACUGGACGCGGGUGCGGAUGUGAACGCUCUUGACGACCUGCACGACUCCCCGUACCUGCUUUCCGCCGCUGAGGGGCGGCAGGAGAUCAUGGAGCACAUCUACAAGAACGCCGAGCGAACAAUGCGGUACGGAAGCCAGACGAGCCUCCGCAUGAAAACGAGUGUGCCGGACCACUCCAUUGUGAACCGGUUUGGCGGAUCGGCACUGAUCCCCGCCUGCGAGCGCGGUCACGUGGAGAUGGUGCGCCUGCUUCUGCAGAAGGGUGUCGAUGUGAACCAUUACAACUAUUACCACUGGACCGGUCUACUGGAGGCUAUCGAGCUUGGCGGCGAUGAUCGUGAGCACGUCGAUAUUGUGCGGCUGCUCAUCGAGAACGGUGCAGAUGUUAACAAGGUAGAUGGCGCUGGCAAGACGCCCCUGUAUCUCGCGCGCAAGCGCAAGUAUAAGCGGAUUGCCGCGCUGCUGGAGGCCGCCGGCGGCCACGAGUGAAACAUAAGAAGGGGCACGGAGGAUACAUCCAGGGCAAGGAGGACAUGGGAACCGAUCUGCCAGCACUCGCAAGCGCGCAUCAUCCGUCGAAGCUCGCUCACGACCACACCGGUGCCUACACUUACAUCAUUCGCGUAGACAGUAAUGCUGCAGUGCAGCACUCCCUUUAUCCAUACCUUGCUAGAGCGUUUUGCGUGUCUUGCUGCUUUCACAUCUUUUGAUGAGACCGCAGCGGCCUUUCGCCCAUUGCCUGUGCCGCUUCGCCGAUCCUUCUCCCUCGUGCGCCAUGCGCGACUUGACUGAGGUUUCUUUUCGACCUUCGUCGGUGAGUUUCCUCCGAAAGUGGGCCACGCACCCCCAGAUGCCAGGGAGGAGGGCACACCUCUCAAGGCAUGGCAUCACAGCGCCCAGCACACCCCCUCUCUGAGGGAGAGCACAACAGCCCCUCCCCUCUACCCCUGCCAAUACCCACCUACCUCUAGUACUGGCAGGGCCAGGUGCCUACGGUGCGAGGAGGUCACAGAUAUUUAUUGCUGCUGAUGCCGGCGGCCAGGUCCUGGAUGGCGUGGCGCCGGAGCGACCUGCUGCAGUGCACGCGUCUGACCCAUCCACAUGAUGGGCAGCGUGUCCGCGCGACUCGAGCGUAUCCGACCCCCGGCCCUCGCACUGCCUACUGGUGGGUGGGGAGCCUGAGCCACCGCAAGGGAUGCCGCACGUGGCGACCGGUACGACGGUAGCUGCUGCGAGGCGCCCCGUGGGGCGGCGGGGGGUGGCCCGUGCUCGAGGCGGAAGCCGUGCUUGGAUGACUGAGUCGGCAUAUUGCUGUAACGCGUGUCUAGGGCUGCUUCGCACGACGCGAUGGGGUGGGGCCCAUGACCGGCCGCGCAGUGCCGGAGUGGCGGUGGCGGGGGGCAUCGAGCUCGCGCGCCCUACGGCGGAGAAAAAGAAAAGGAUGAAGAGCGGCUCCGCGCAUCUCUGCGUUUCUCCCUCCUUGUGGGCGUGCGCAGGUGUUUGGGCGUCACGUUGUCGGGGCAACAUUUUCGGCUCUUUGCCUUCUUUCACAUCGUGCACUCUUUCGUUUUUUUUUUCGGCUGAUGGUUAUGUGUGUGUGUGUGUGUUUGCGUCACUCGAUGACAGCUCUCUCGUCCGCUUUUUUUUUGUUUGGGUUUGUAUUUCUCCCCCACCGUCCCUUCGCCAUGCCGCUUGCACGCUCCCCCUCCUGCGGCAGCGGCCGAACAGCUCGAAACGUGAAAGGGAUCGGGGCGAGAGAGAGCGAGUGGACAGUACUCAAAGAAAAGGCAGGACACGGUGACAUGUGCGCACCUUCCUGGUGUAGGAACGGGCCUGUGCUGGGCGCUGCAAUGCAAGACGUAUAUGUGCGUGUGUGUGUGGGGGGGGGGCAAGGCCGCUCGUACGCCGGCUGCGCCAAGCGCAGAGAGGCACGCUGUAGGCGGCUCCACGAAGAGCCGCGUAUGCUCUGCACACGAAAGGCGCUUGAAGCAGAGCGGAGAAACAAAACAGGUCCAUCCUUGGUUUUCUGCGGAGGUGUCUCCUGUGGUUCUGAUCCUCUGAUCCUUCUCCCUCUUGUGCUCGUCUUCCCUUCACCGUCGCCAG
This 2415-nucleotide unclassified non-coding RNA is filed under the name Leishmania donovani. Its description in RNAcentral is "gene:LdHU3.11.0900(CDS-product:Ankyrin_repeats_(3 _copies)/Ankyrin_repeat/Ankyrin_repeats_(many_copies)_putat ive)". The record is from RNAcentral. Lineage: Eukaryota; Euglenozoa; Kinetoplastea; Trypanosomatida; Trypanosomatidae.